CAAAAUAAAGGGAUGCGAAAUCAAAGCGGUGGAAAGUAGAAAACGGCGGGGAGGAUGAGUUUGGUCGGAGUGACACCCUCCUUUCUUCGUCAUCGCUGGUCGCAAUGUCCGCUCUUAUGCGUUAAUGCCUUUAAGAUUAAGAUACUCCAUAGAGAUACACCUCUUCUUCUCUUUCGCCAUUCAAAACCCUACUAUUACUACUCUUCUAAUUAUUCUCCUCCACGUCGUCCUCUGGCAAUGGCUUCUGCAACUACCCCUCCUACUCAGACUGUUUCGUCUGGAGAUGUGAGCAGUGAUGACAACAUAUACAAAUUGAUUCAAGCUCAUCAGGAAGCGGCUGCUCGACUCCCACCAAUUGAAGAAGUUCGGACAGUUCUUGAUCGCAGUGCCCGGGGUAUGCUGUCUACUUUUUCUCAGAAAUAUGAGGGAUAUCCUUCAGGGUCCAUGGUCGAUUUUGCAUGUGAUCAAGAGGGGUUUCCAAUAUUAGCAAUCAGCAGCCUAGCAGUUCAUACAAAGGAUCUGUUGGCUAAUCCUAAAUGCUCACUGCUUGUAGCAAGGGAUCCUGGGGACAGAACUGAUUUAGUGAUCACCUUACAUGGUGAUGUUACAGCUGUUACUGAACAAGAUAGGGAUGCUGUGCGUGCUGCAUACUUGAAAAGGCAUCCCAAUGCAUUCUGGGUUGAUUUUGGAGACUUCCACUUUUUGCGCAUUGAACCAAAAAUUGUCCGAUAUGUGUCUGGUGUUGCAACUGCUCUGUUGGGGUCGGGAGAAUUUGGCAAAGAGGAUUACAAAGCCGCAAAACUUGAUCCAAUAGCUCAGUUUUCCAAUCCUGUUGCGUCACACAUGAAUAAAGAUCAUGCUGAAGAUAUGAAGGCUAUUGUGCAACACUCAACAGCAGUUCAGGUUGACUAUGCUUACAUAUUGGAUUUGGACAGUCUUGGUUUCAAUGUUAAGGCUGGUUAUCAGGGGAAUACCUUCAAGCUUCGAAUACCUUUUCCUAGAUGUGCAGAGGAUAGAAAGGAUGUAAAGAUUCUCAUUGUGGAAAUGCUUCAAGCUGCUAAAGCCUCAAAUUAAUUGAUCAAAAAGGUGAACUGUAAAAAGUCUCAGCUCAAGUAUAUGGAACAGAAGCCAGAUUUAUCACUUUGCAGUGGUUUAUUAUAGGGAAAGGCAGAUAGCUUCCAUUGAUCAUCUUAGAUAGAUGUUGCGAAGCAUUGGAUCGAGUGUAUUCUUGUAUAAUGUUUCUGGUAUAUCAACAGUUAUGAAUAUCUGGUGCCACUAAGUGAAAUGGAGGAAAUCAAGUGCUUCUGGUUCAUGUCAGAAACUUGGCGACCAUUAGUUAUUGUUUUCUCCUUUUACUGAGGAAUUUGCUUAUUUACUGUGAACUGAAGUGUAAAGAGAGUCUUAUGUCAGAAGAGAAAUUAUAUUUGACUGAUAUAGCGUUGUUAUUUGGGUCGGGACAUAAUAUUUGAAUAAAGAUCACAAAAUUUGAGUAGUGUACUA
Macadamia integrifolia is the source of this 1500-nucleotide RNA transcript. RefSeq lists it as uncharacterized. The record is from RefSeq and is a predicted model, not a curated record. Lineage: Eukaryota; Viridiplantae; Streptophyta; Magnoliopsida; Proteales; Proteaceae. The transcript has 14 exons.